CUCCAGGUCUUACAAUAUGUACUGAACCAAUCCAACCGGAAGGAACUACAAGGGCACAACUUGCUGGUGUUCAAAACCAAAUGCCACCGCCAAUAUCUGCCGCGCAGGGCUCUGAUGAUGACCAGUCACCUUCAUCUUCUGGUCCACCCGUGGAAAUCUCUGAUUCCGACCUCGAAAAAGAUGAUCAGGAAACUGAAAUAGAAGUAGAGGAACAAGAAAUCGAGAAUGAUAACGAAGAAGAAGAAUAUGAAGAGAUUAUAGUAGUAGAGGAAGAAGAGAUAGAAGAAGAAGUUGAAGUAGAAGAAGAUGAUAUGUCAGAUUCAUCAAAGGAAGCUAAUGCCAAAAGUAAUGAUGUUAGUCAAGAUACGGAGUUUGAGGGGACUGACAGGCAAUUGGGAUUACGUUCUACUCCUGGAAGGUCUUCGCUGGGGCUACCAUCUAAUUCCCUUGUAGAAGAUGGUGUCUGUAAUUCCCAAUUUUCUGGUCCUUUGAAUGAACCAGUGAAAUUGCAGGAGGAAUUGCAUGUGAACUAUGAGGAUUCCAAGUGUCUUCUUAAAUCAGGAACCAAUGGGGAGAAUGGAAGUAAACGGUCUCUAGUUAAAAACGACACUGAGGCCCUUAUGAUAAAGAAAAAAUCUAAAGAAAUCAGCAAACACUAUAGUGAUAGCAUGGCUCAUUUUUUCAACGAUGAAGCUAUGGCUGCUGAGACCACCAGUCCAUCUAGUAUCACAGGAAAUGAGGUGUCUAAUGCCUUGGCUAUAAAAAACAGCUUAGGUAUGGAGACUAAUGGUAUUCUGGAUUCUGAGGUAGAUGUUAAUCCAAUGGAAAAGCGGUCAGAGGAUAAAAAGCAAACAACAUCAAGAUUGGUUACUUUGGAGAAAAGAACUCGAAGUCUAUCCCCUUCUGCUGAAUUCGAGGAUCAGAACAAGCGCCCAGCUGUUAUAUGUGACUUUUUUUCUAAAGGGUGGUGCAUUAGAGGUAGUUCAUGUACGUUCCUUCAUAUAAAAAAUAAAACUGUUAAUGCUAAAGAACAAC
Molecule: unclassified non-coding RNA, 1035 nt
Filed under: Hevea brasiliensis (rubber tree)
Lineage: Eukaryota; Viridiplantae; Streptophyta; Magnoliopsida; Malpighiales; Euphorbiaceae
Source: RNAcentral